GACAAAGUGUAAAAAUUAUCAUAUAGGGCGAGCGCGUCGGAUCGCUUCUUUUCCUUCUUUUAAACGAGCUCGCUAUCCAUUCCAAGUUAGGGUUUAACAGGUAUCUACUCAAAACCUCUCUCACGUUCUGCGAAGAGGGAAACAAGCGCUCAAGUUUUCCACAGCCAUGGCGAGCACCAAAGUCCAAAGAAUCAUGACCCAACCCAUCAACCUGAUCUUCAGGUUUCUCCAAAGUAAAGCUCGCAUUCAGAUUUGGCUUUUUGAGCAGAAAGAUUUGAGGAUUGAAGGCCGAAUCAUUGGCUUUGAUGAGUACAUGAAUUUGGUUCUCGAUGAUGCUGAAGAAGUCAACAUCAAGAAAAAGAGCAGAAAGUCAUUAGGAAGGAUACUUCUUAAAGGAGACAAUAUAACUCUUAUGAUGAAUAGUGGAAAGUGAUGACCAUCUCAGUAGUUACGUGAACUAGCAUUACAAAUUUUCUGAAAUUCACGUAGGCCAAGCCACUCGACUCUACUGUGCUAUCUUUAAAACAUACCUUAACCUUUCAUAUAUUAUAAGCCACCUCACAGAAGCUUAUUUUUGUUUUUCAAACAGUUACUGGGCUUGCUUUGUUUAUCCAGUGAUUGACAUGUAUGAUUCUGCCCUUUGAUCUGUAUUGUUUAGAUUUCUGAUUAAGUCAGCUUCAGAAAAUCUUCCUUGAGCAUCUGUGGUCUGCAUUUUUUAUGUUAUUUUGAUCCACUUUUUAUCUAGUUUUGUCCUGCUUUAUCAGUUGGUCUUUUGGGAAAUUAUUGGCCUGUUCGUAUCUUGGAUCAAAAGAUUUUUGCUGGAGUUCUUUGAUUUGUGUUUCAGUCAGUUUUUCAUAAUCUCAAAUUGGUGAGCAUUCUUCAAUUUUCCUUGAUAUGCAUUACUGUGCAAUGUGGUGCAUCCAUUUGGAGGAAUUUCUGGCAACAAAAGUUGGUAUGGGAGGAUGUAUGAAGGAGUUCAGGGCAGUCAAACUGUUGUGUCAAUAAGAUGUGGGUGUAUUUCCACAUUUUACUAGCAUCCAUGGCCACUGCUUAUUAUUUUUCUUCCUUUUCGUAUUUUAACUUUUUUUUUUCUCAAAUUCGAUGUGCAUGGUACCAUGAAUAUGAGGAUUGAUAGGAUCUAGCCAACUACUACUACCAGUAAUCUGCCUGAGUUUUCACAAGCUUAUCAUUGGUGAUUUGUUCUGUAUGAAUUUGGCUUUAGUUAUGAUCCAAGUGUUGCCUAUGAUAGCAGAUUGUGCUGUUUCUGUGGUUUGGUUUGCUUAGUAGCAAGUUUGAUUCAGUUGGUAGAACAUAUGGUUCAAGUGAACUUUGUUGACAUUGCCAAUAGGAUUAUAGUAGUUGUUCAUAGAUAGUUCAGUGUCCUUUAUUCUGGUCAAUUGAUUUCUUGACCAAGAAGCUGAUGCUCUGCUUGUUGUGAGCAUAGGUAGGAUAGGGGUGCCGACAUCUAGUGUCUCUAAUCUUGCCAGGCACAGAAGCUCUUCGAAUGUAAAUGUGUGGGGAGCAAUAAACCAAUUCUUGCUAAUCGAAAGAUAUGAUCAGUCAAAUUAUCAUGUUCAAAUAAUCAUUGCUUUAUUCUCAGUGGGACUGCAUCAACAAAGUCAUUGCUAAGAAUCUAAGAUAUCCCCUUUCUUUUGUUGCUCCAGUCUGGACUCUCUCACAAUGCCCAAGGGGUAGGACACCCCCCUUGUCCCCCCCUUUAAUGUCCAAUUCAUUGGUGUAGGUGACAACUUCCUAUAUACGUUUUAAGGAGUUAGAUUGCUAAGCAUUUGCUACUAGAGGCAGUAGUUUUACUUUUGUGGUCAACUGAGGGGCAAAAAAGGUGGGAAACAUAAAAAAUGAAGAAGGGGAAAAGGAAAAAUAAAAAAAAGGAGAUACGUUAGGUUAAUUUUAUGUAAUCACCUCCAAGCAUAGGUGGUGAUGUUCAGAUUUCAUGGGAUUAGACGGUAGUGGAGUUCGUUACUGCAUUUUUUGGGAAACAGUCUGGGAAUUGAGCUCUGAAUUUAUCAUCAGUGUUCUUUAGCUUAUGUAAGUUAAUAAAAAAUUAUAAGCAAGGUUUUACCAGCUGCGUAGAUGUGCGUCACUUUUAACGGGUUAUGUAAAGAAGGAAUAAAAAUGGAAAAGGUUGAAAGGGACGGUCAUCCAGUGGGCGAAGGUGAGUGGGUGAGCUUCCUUUGUGACCGCUGCUGGUUAGCAAGGCCAGGGUGUAGGAAGGAAGUGACAAGGGAAGGAACGCUAGUGGGAUUGUGGGUGGUGGGGGCCAAUGGCUCUGUUUGUUGUGCACCCGUGUCUCCAGGGAAUCAAUUUGUGAACUCUGUCUAUGCAUUAGGAAGCAAGUGCUUUGAACCAUCUGGUUCUUUUGGUCACUACCCUUCACUGAUUACUGACUCAGCCUCCACAGAUUUCAUAUCUUAGCUCACAACCGCAUGUUUCCUGUUGCAAAUAAUUGCCCUGACAUCAACAUUAUAAGUGGGAGAGCCUUGAAGUUAAGGAUUUAGAUGACCGGUGCAAUGAAGUGGUUGGUUGGGCGAGAAUUAUGGAGUAAUAAAGUCAAUUCCUAGAAAAUUAGAGCAGUAUGAAUCUGGCCAAUCCCAGGUUAGAUUGAUGCAUAGUCGUUGGAAGGAUUAUGAGUCAUGAUGUUUACAGUCGGAGGAAAAGUUGAUAUUUGAGUCAAAUUCUGGUUUUUCUA
Non-coding RNA from Theobroma umbraticum, 2707 nucleotides. The record is from RefSeq and is a predicted model, not a curated record. NCBI's taxonomy places the organism in Eukaryota, Viridiplantae, Streptophyta, Magnoliopsida, Malvales, Malvaceae.